This 508-nucleotide ribosomal RNA is filed under the name uncultured bacterium. RNAcentral describes it as "partial 16S ribosomal RNA". It matches the Rfam family "Bacterial small subunit ribosomal RNA", at positions 28 to 507 of the family's 1533-position model. The record is from RNAcentral.
GACGAACGCUGGCGGCGUGCUUAACACAUGCAAGUCGAACGGGCCUUGUCCCCUUUUUUUUUGGGGGUGGGGUUAGUGGCGAACGGGUGAGUAACACGUGAGUAACCUGCCCCUCACUUCUGGAUAACCGCUUGAAAGGGUGGCUAAUACGGGGUGUUCUGGCCUGCUCGCAUGGGCGGGUUUGGAAAGAUUCGACCGGUUUUGGUUGUUUUGGUGGGGGAUGGGCUCGCGGCCUAUCAGCUUGUUGGUGGGGUGAUGGCCUGCCAAGGCUUUGACGGGUAGCCGGCCUGAGAGGGUGGGCGGUCACACUGGGACUGAGACACGGCCCAGACUCCUACGGGAGGCAGCAGUGGGGAAUAUUGCACAAUGGGCGCAAGCCUGAUGCAGCGACGCCGCGUGAGGGAUGGAGGCCUUCGGGUUGUGAACCUCUUUCGCCAGUGAAGAAGGUCCUGCUCUUUGUGGUGGGGUUGACGGUAGCUGGGUUAAUGAAGCGCCGGCUAACUACGUG